RNAcentral lists this signal recognition particle RNA (97 nucleotides) under Rubrivivax sp. Its description in RNAcentral is "signal recognition particle sRNA small type". It matches the Rfam family "Bacterial small signal recognition particle RNA". From Rfam's summary of the family: The signal recognition particle (SRP) is a universally conserved ribonucleoprotein involved in the co-translational targeting of proteins to membranes. Archaeal SRP consists of a 7S RNA and homologues of the eukaryotic SRP19 and SRP54 proteins. In most bacteria, the SRP consists of a 4.5S RNA and the Ffh protein (a homologue of the eukaryotic SRP54 protein). RNAcentral also lists the same sequence under 1 other name. Lineage: Bacteria; Pseudomonadati; Pseudomonadota; Betaproteobacteria; Burkholderiales; Sphaerotilaceae. The record is from RNAcentral.
GCCGGGCCUCUCCGCAUGGAAGCGCGCCCAACCGGGUCAGGUGGGGAACCAAGCAGCCCUAAGCGUUGCAACCAGUGCCGGGGUAAGGCUCGGCACC